Molecule: ribosomal RNA, 253 nt
Filed under: uncultured bacterium
Lineage: Bacteria
Description: partial 16S ribosomal RNA
Rfam family: Bacterial small subunit ribosomal RNA
Source: RNAcentral
UACGGAGGGUGCAAGCGUUAAUCGGAAUUACUGGGCGUAAAGCGCACGCAGGCGGUCUGGCAAGUCAGAUGUGAAAUCCCCGGGCUCAACCCGGGAACUGCAUUCGAUACUGUCAGACUAGAGUCUUGUAGAGGGGGGUAGAAUUUGUGGUGUAGCGGUGAAAUGCGUAGAGAUCUGGAGGAAUACCGGUGGCGAAGGCAGCCCCCUGGAGAAAGACUGACGCUCAGGUGCGAAAGCGUGGGGAGCAAACAGG